This is a long non-coding RNA of Peromyscus maniculatus bairdii (prairie deer mouse), 1259 nucleotides long. RefSeq lists it as uncharacterized. The record is from RefSeq and is a predicted model, not a curated record. Lineage: Eukaryota; Metazoa; Chordata; Mammalia; Rodentia; Cricetidae.
CCUUAGCUCACAAUGAGUGGAGAAUCAACAAAAGCCAAUGAAGGGCAUUGGGUAAAAAUCAUGACCCUCUCUCUCUGUUAUUCUUCGACAUGAGAAUAUAUAAUAUCUAGAGUUAAUGCUACAGCUGCCUGGUAGCCAUCAGAUGUGAGGUAUUUGAGGAAGAAGCUCAACAGGGGGGAGGGAGAUUUAUGAGUAGAGAAAGCAUAAAAAUAAAAUUUGUCCUGGUGAUGCCAUCUGAGCCCCAUAUCAAGGCUUGCUUAAGCCUGCCUUGCCCCAGGAAACCCCAGUGGGAGAACGGAGGUGGCGAGCCAGGCAGCGGAGGGAAGAAUAGAAAGAGCAGAUAAGAAAUAGAGGGGCUCCUCAAGAGACAGAGAACUAAAAAUCCCGCAGAAGCAGCCAAAUCUCCUUCGUCCUGGAUCCUUCAGGAGGAACAACCAUCUACCUUUCUUUUAGGUCAAGUCCAAAUAACAGAGAUCCUGAGAAACAAGUUGCCAGUGAAGGCUGGUGGAUGUUGGAUCCCCUGGAACUGGAGUUAAGCCUCCAUUCCAUUUAUCCCAUUCCACGUCUGCUGUUUUGAGUCAUGCAAAUGUAACUAAGCCUUCCAUGAGACCUGCCACCCCAAAGUUUGCAUUCUUCGGCUGAUGCUCAGGAGGAGGAGGAAGUGGAUUCCCAAGACAAAAGGGACAAGUUGGACUAGCACGACAGUGUUCAAGGCGAUCAUGGCCAUGAUGGUAUACUCGAAGGAUGGAGAAACCACGAAGUGCCACACGCGGUACUGGAAGGUUAAACAACAACAAAGUCAACCUUAUAAAACCCUACAAUGUUCCAAACCUAUGCAUGUGUUAGAGGAACAUUUAAGAAAACAUAACCCCGGGCAUUAGAAACACAGAUGCCAUGAGAAUCAGGGAGGCUACACUCCUCCAUCAUCUUAUCCCCUUGCUCCUGGAAGGUGAUGAUGAUGAGAGCCACAAAGAUAUUGACGAAGAAGAAAGGGAACACCACAAAGUAGACCACAUAAAAGAUGGACAUCUCCAUGCGGUUGCUGCGGCUUGGGCCUCUGUCCUCCUCUGUCACAUCUACAGAAUGCUGCAGGACCCUAUGAGGAUCAAAAGAGAGGGUACAGAGGGUUGGUGACAGCCUCAGCUUUGUCGGAAAUGUGCCACCUUUUGUUGUUGUUGAUAUGUCUUCUCUGACUUUUUCUAUUCCUCCACUGAUUUGGGGUGACCAUAACCAAAUAGGCAAAGAAAAAGUCCCACUGU